GUACGGAAGGCAGCAGGUGGGGAAUAUUGCACAAUGGGCGCAAGCCUGAUGCAGCCAUGCCGCGUGUAUGAAGAAGGCCUUCGGGUUGUAAAGUACUUUCAGUCGUGAGGAAGGUGUUAAGGUUAAUAACCUUAGCAAUUGACGUUAGCGACAGAAGAAGCACCGGCUAACUCCGUGCCAGCAGCCGCGGUAAUACGGAGGGUGCGAGCGUUAAUCGGAAUUACUGGGCGUAAAGGGCACGCAGGCGGUUAAUUAAGUUGGAUGUGAAAUCCCCGGGCUUAACCUGGGAAUGGCAUUCAAGACUGGUUAGCUAGAGUCUUGUAGAGGGGGUAGAAUUCCAUGUGUAGCGGUGAAAUGCGUAGAGAUGUGGAGGAAAUCCGGUGGCGAAGGCGGCCCCUGGGCAAAGACUGACGCUCAUGUGCAAAGCGUGGGGAGCAAACAGGAUUAGAUACC
RNAcentral lists this ribosomal RNA (453 nucleotides) under uncultured bacterium. RNAcentral's name for it is "bacterial SSU rRNA". It matches the Rfam family "Bacterial small subunit ribosomal RNA", at positions 339 to 786 of the family's 1533-position model. The record is from RNAcentral.